GUCCACGCCUAACGAUGUCAACUAGUUGUCGGGUCUUAACGGACUUGGUAACGUAGCUAACGCGUGAAGUUGACCGCCUGGGAGUACGGUCGCAAGAUUAAACUCAAAGGAAUUGACGGGACCCGCACAAGCGGUGGAUUAUGUGGAUUAAUUCGAUGCAACGCGAAACCUUACCUACCCUUGACAUGUACCGAAGCUUGCCGAGAGGUGAGCGUGCCCGAAAGGGAACGGUAACACAGGUGCUGCAUGGCUGUCGU
This 257-nucleotide ribosomal RNA is filed under the name uncultured bacterium. Its description in RNAcentral is "partial 16S ribosomal RNA". It matches the Rfam family "Bacterial small subunit ribosomal RNA", at positions 793 to 1055 of the family's 1533-position model. The record is from RNAcentral.